GAAGUUGUGGCUUCAUUUGAAAAAGGAAAAUUGUUGACUGAACUCUAAGUGGAUACUGUAAGUGAACUGUAAAGUUUCCUGUGUGUGGACUUUCCCCUCUGAGAUAACACGAUAGGCAGGGGUGAUAAGGCUGGGCGUUCGCAGAGGCAAGAAUUCAACCAGAGAGAUGCUUCUCACAAGAAACUGCAUGCAACAGGCAAUACUGUCAACACUGCAAUGUUCCUCGCACCCACACUGGAGGGAAGUGUGCAUGGCUUGUACUGUAUGAGCACACUGUGAAGCAGGUGGAGAGAGAAAAAUGUCCCCAGCCUCCAACUUGUUGCCAGUUGAUGCCAUUACUCCAAUCCCUCAGAUGUGGCCAUGGGGCUGGCACGCUCGGUUGUCCAGGUGAUGGCUACCGUGGAGACAGAGGGCCUGACCGGUCUUGGCCCACACCGUUACACCGACUGUGCCAACUUACCAUCAACUGGAUGCUAAAUGGCAGCGACACGUACGCCACCUUCCCCCUGCUGCAGACCGUGGGCACAUGUGUUCAAAGCUGAGAGAAGAGAAACUAAAAAGGGGGUGCGCAGCCAUUUGAAAUCAAGAGAUCUGAAAUCAGAUUUGCCACCCUCAAAUCGAACCACAUCAGUUAAAAGGCUGUUGAAAUAUCUGACCCGGCAUCAGCGGUGUAGGGAGGUGAUUUUGUUGCUGGUGGGCUGUAAGCUACACAGAGAAGAGAUUUGCAGAGACAGCCCAUAACAGCUCCCUUGGAACCAAUGACUCAGAUAUGCAGAUGUGUUUACUUCCCUUCUGUUUCCCACCUCAACCAGCACACAAAAGGCAGGGGGAAUGAAAGUGCUUGAUAAUGUCUUUAAGUGUUUCAUUUAUAUAUUUAUAUGCUGUUAUAAAGAACUCAUUUUUUACUAAAACUUAGACAGGCACUUCAAAUGGGCUCUUUGCCUCUUCUUUCUAUUCCCUCCCUCCCUUCUGAGGGUAUUCAUCUUUUGUCUAAUGCGUAGCGCUGCUCUCUGUUAGUUUCUUUCUGACACCAUGCCAGCAGAGUCAUCUGCAAAGGGACUCAUGUAGGGAUUAAAAACCAUCAACAGCUCCCCUUUAACAGUGAGGUAGAAAAAAAACAUUGAAAAAUAAAAUACAAAAAAAAAAAAAAAACUCCAGACAGUUUGGAGAAAACUUGUAGAAAGAGAAUGCAGAUUGUCACCUGACCCUGAGGCAAGGCAGCCCUAAAUAUAAUAAAGAGAAGACAACAGAAGAAGACGAGGCGACACGACACGGGUAAUGUGUUUUCUCUGCUGGUGUCGUCUGGCAGAUCUGGGAUGAUUGAGUGCUGAUGCCUGCCUGGGCCGCUUCAGAGAAGAUCGUCUACCCCCCCCCCCCCCCUCCUCCUCCCCUCAACCCCCUUCAGCUCGUACUCACAUGCACACACGGGCACAGCCUCCCUACUCAUGACACAUGUGCACACACGCACACACACACGUACACGCGCGCACACGCUCAGUCUUCCUGUUGUCUGAGUGACAAAAACAUCAAGGCGUAUUAACUGUCAUCAUCUCAGCAUCUCUUCAUCUCUCUUUUUGGUCGAGGGAAUAUUUCAAGGUAACACUUUAUUGCUGUGAUGUGAUGUGAUGUGUGUGUGUUUGUGUGUGUGUGUGUGUGUUUGUGUGUGGUUUUCCUCCAUGGUGGAUGUGUGUCUUAAUUAUAACAGGGUUUAGUGAAUUAGGGCAGGAUGUGUAAUAGACUCACAUUUGCAUAAUCUCUGUUGAAUAAACCUCAGUGACAAACAUGUAAGCAGAAAAUCAUACGUGCUUACUGUACUGCAUGACUUCAAACCCCCCUCCCAAAAAAAAAAAAAACAUGAAGAAAGGCGUGUUUGUGACAGUAAUCUAUAGCGUUUACUUAUGUGUGUAUUAAUUUCUGUAUAUUUCCAUAAUCACCCCAUAUUGUGAAAUUGUCAGCAGCAGAUACAGACAAACAGGUGCUGGCUCCAGAGGAAGUUGAUUGGCUUGAUUCCAUGAUCCAUUUUCCCAAGGCUUCCACACCCCUGCAGCUGUCCUCUAGAAUAUGAGAACCAUGUGUGUGUAUGUGUGUGUAUUUGCAGUGCAUGCUUGUGGUUAUGACAAAUUCACUCCUAGUUGCUUGCCAAUAAGGGAGACAAUGAUC
Long non-coding RNA from Lates calcarifer (barramundi perch), 2160 nucleotides. RefSeq lists it as uncharacterized. The transcript is spliced from 3 exons. Lineage: Eukaryota; Metazoa; Chordata; Actinopteri; Centropomidae. The record is from RefSeq and is a predicted model, not a curated record.